GUGUCAGCAGCCGCGGUAAAACGUAGGAGGCAAGCGUUAUCCGGAUUUACUGGGCGUAAAGCGCGUGCAGGCGGUUUGGGAAGUUGGAUGUGAAAGCUCCCGGCUCAACUGGGAGAGGUCGUUCAAGACUCUCAGACUCGAGGAUGGUAGAGGGAGGUGGAAUUCCGGGUGUAGUGGUGAAAUGCGUAGAUAUCCGGAGGAACACCAGUGGCGAAAGCGGCCUCCUGGACCAUUUCUGACGCUCAGACGCGAAAGCUAGGGGAGCAAACGGGAUUAGAGACCCCGGUAGUCCUAGCUGUAAACUAUGUAGACUUGGCGUCGGUGGGUUCAAAUCCAUCGGUGCCGCAGCUAACGCGAUAAGUCUACCGCCUGGGGACUACGGCCGCAAGGUUAAA
This 395-nucleotide ribosomal RNA is filed under the name uncultured bacterium. RNAcentral's name for it is "bacterial SSU rRNA". It matches the Rfam family "Bacterial small subunit ribosomal RNA", at positions 505 to 898 of the family's 1533-position model. The record is from RNAcentral.